This 497-nucleotide ribosomal RNA is filed under the name uncultured bacterium. Its description in RNAcentral is "partial 16S ribosomal RNA". It matches the Rfam family "Bacterial small subunit ribosomal RNA", at positions 28 to 507 of the family's 1533-position model. The record is from RNAcentral.
GAUGAACGCUGGCGGCGUGCCUAAUACAUGCAAGUCGAGCGAACAGACGAGGAGCUUGCUCCUCUGACGUUAGCGGCGGACGGGUGAGUAACACGUGGAUAACCUACCUAUAAGACUGGGAUAACUUCGGGAAACCGGAGCUAAUACCGGAUAAUAUAUUGAACCGCAUGGUUCAAUAGUGAAAGACGGUUUUGCUGUCACUUAUAGAUGGAUCCGCGCCGCAUUAGCUAGUUGGUAAGGUAACGGCUUACCAAGGCAACGAUGCGUAGCCGACCUGAGAGGGUGAUCGGCCACACUGGAACUGAGACACGGUCCAAACUCCUACGGGAGGCAGCAGUAGGGAAUCUUCCGCAAUGGGCGAAAGCCUGACGGAGCAACGCCGCGUAAGUGAUGAAGGUCUUCGGAUCGUAAAACUCUGUUAUUAGGGAAGAACAAAUGUGUAAGUAACUAUGCACGUCUUGACGGUACCUAAUCAGAAAGCCACGGCUAACUACGUG